CCUACGGGAGGCAGCAGUGAGGAAUUUUCUGCAAUGGGCGCAAGCCUGACAGAGCAAUACCGCGUGAGGGAUGACUGCCUACGGGUUGUAAACCUCUUUUCUCAAGGAGGAAGAACUGACGUUACUUGAGGAAUAAGCAUCGGCUAACCCUGUGCCAGCAGCCGCGGUAAUACAGGGGAUGCAAGUGUUAUCCGGAAUUAUUGGGCGUAAAGCGUCUGCAGGUGGAUCUAUAAGUCUUUUGUUAAAUCUUUGAGCUUAACUCAAAAUCUGCAAAAGAAACUAUAUAUCUUGAGUAUGGUAGAGGUAAAGGGAAUUUCCAGUGGAGCGGUGAAAUGCGUAGAUAUUGGAAAGAACACCAACAGCGAAGGCACUUUACUGGGCUAUUACUGACACUCAGAGACGAAAGCUAGGGGAGCAAACGGGAUUAGAUACCCCGGUAGUCCUAGCCGUAAACGAUGGAUACUAGAUAGUUAUAUACUUUAAGUUAUAGUAGUAGUGUAGUCUACGUACGUAGUAUACCGUCCGUCGGUAGUAGUGUCGUCGCGAGAGUAGAACGUAACGUAAGUAAGUUAGUUAGUACGUUGUUAGAGAGCGACGACGACGACGACGGAGGAGGAGG
Molecule: ribosomal RNA, 619 nt
Filed under: uncultured bacterium
Lineage: Bacteria
Description: bacterial SSU rRNA
Rfam family: Bacterial small subunit ribosomal RNA (bases 1-523)
Source: RNAcentral